This 799-nucleotide ribosomal RNA is filed under the name uncultured delta proteobacterium. RNAcentral's name for it is "bacterial SSU rRNA". It matches the Rfam family "Bacterial small subunit ribosomal RNA", at positions 58 to 840 of the family's 1533-position model. Lineage: Bacteria; Deltaproteobacteria. The record is from RNAcentral.
CAAGUCGUGCGAGAAAGGGCUUCGGCCCCAGUAAAGCGGCGCACGGGUGAGUAACACGUAGGUUAUCUCCCCUCGAGUGUGGAUAACCCUCCGAAAGGAGGGCUAAUACAGCAUGAGACCACGACCUUCUAGGUUGCGGUCAAAGCAGGCCUCUUCAUGAAAGCUUGCGCUCAAGGAUGAGCCUGCGGCCCAUCAGCUUGUUGGUAAGGUAACGGCUUACCAAGGCUAAGACGGGUAGCUGGUCUGAGAGGAUGAGCAGCCACACUGGAACUGAAACACGGUCCAGACUCCUACGGGAGGCAGCAGUAGGGAAUCUUGCGCAAUGGACGAAAGUCUGACGCAGCGACGCCGCGUGAGCGAUGAAGGCCUUCGGGUUGUAAAGCUCUGUGGGGAGAGACGAAUAAGGCAUGGCCAAUAUCCAUGUCGAUGACGGUAUCUCCUUAGCAAGCACCGGCUAACUCUGUGCCAGCAGCCGCGGUAAGACAGAGGGUGCGAACGUUGUUCGGAAUUACUGGGCGUAAAGCGCGUGUAGGCGGCAGCGCAAGUCGGGCGUGAAAUCCCACGGCUCAACCGUGGAAGUGCACUCGAAACUGCGCAGCUAGAGUCCUGGAGAGGAAGGUGGAAUGCUUGGUGUAGAGGUGAAAUUCGUAGAUAUCAAGCGGAACACCGGUGGCGAAGGCGGCCUUCUGGACAGUGACUGACGCUGAGACGCGAAAGCGUGGGGAGCAAACAGGAUUAGAUACCCUGGUAGUCCACGCCGUAAGCGAUGAGUGCUAGGUGUCACGGGCUUUGACCCUCG